UGGGGAAUAUUGCACAAUGGGCGCAAGCCUGAUGCAGCCAUGCCGCGUGUAUGAAGAAGGCCUUCGGGUUGUAAAGUACUUUCAGUCGGGAGGAAGGUGUCAAGGUUAAUAACCUUGGCAAUUGACGUUACCGACAGAAGAAGCACCGGCUAACUCCGUGCCAGCAGCCGCGGUAAUACGGAGGGUGCAAGCGUUAAUCGGAAUUACUGGGCGUAAAGCGCACGCAGGCGGUUGAUUGAGUCAGAUGUGAAAUCCCCGGGCUUAACCCGGGAAUUGCAUCUGAUACUGGUCAGCUAGAGUCUUGUAGAGGGGGGUAGAAUUCCAUGUGUAGCGGUGCAAUGCGUAGAGAUGUGGAGGAAUACCGGUGGCGAAGGCGGCCCCCUGGACAAAGACUGACGCUCAGGUGCGAAAGCGUGGGGAGCAAACAGG
Molecule: ribosomal RNA, 429 nt
Filed under: Chloroflexota bacterium
Lineage: Bacteria; Bacillati; Chloroflexota
Description: Chloroflexi bacterium partial 16S ribosomal RNA
Rfam family: Bacterial small subunit ribosomal RNA
Source: RNAcentral